This 748-nucleotide ribosomal RNA is filed under the name uncultured archaeon. Its description in RNAcentral is "bacterial SSU rRNA". It matches the Rfam family "Archaeal small subunit ribosomal RNA", at positions 128 to 860 of the family's 1478-position model. The record is from RNAcentral.
AACCCCGGGAAACUGGGGCCAAUUUCCGAUAGGUGAAGAUCCCUGGAAUGGGUUUUCGCCCAAAAGACGUUUGGGUCACGCUUUCAGACGUUGCCCAAGGAUGGGGCCGCGGCCGAUCAGGUUGUUGGUGAGGUAACGGCUCACCAAGCCUUUGACCGGUUCGGGCCGUGAGAGCGGUAGCCCGGAGAUGGGCACUGAGACAAGGGCCCAGGCCCUACGGGGCGCAGCAGUCGCGAAAACUUCGCAAUAAGCGAAAGCUUGACGGGGCCAUCCCGAGUGCCAUCUGCUGAGGAUGGCUUUUACCCAGUAUAGAUAGCUGGGGGAAUAAGGAGAGGGCAAGUCUGGUGUCAGCCGCCGCGGUAAUACCAGCUCUCCGAGUUGUGGGGACGUUUAUUGAGCCUGAAGCAUCCGUAGCCGGCUGUGCAAGUCCCCUGUUAAAUCCAGCGACUAAUCGUUGGCCUGCGGGGGAUACUGCUCGGCUAGGGGGCGGGAGAGGCCGUCGGUAUUCUUGGGGUAGGGGUGAAAUCCCAUAAUCCCAGGAGGACCACCGGUGGCGAAGGCUGUCGGCUAGAACGCGCCCGACGGUGAGGGAUGAAAGCUGGGGGAGCGAACCGGAUUAGAUACCCGGGUAGUCCCAGCUGUAAACGGUGCAGGCUAGGUGUUAGGGCGGCUACGUGCCGCUCUAGUGCCGCAGGGAAGCUGUUAAGCCUGCCGCUUUGGGAGUACGGCCGCAAGGCUGAAACUUAAA